Molecule: ribosomal RNA, 414 nt
Filed under: Bacillus sp. Rc4
Lineage: Bacteria; Bacillati; Bacillota; Bacilli; Caryophanales; Bacillaceae
Description: bacterial LSU rRNA
Rfam family: Bacterial large subunit ribosomal RNA
Source: RNAcentral
GGGAGGUUUGGCACCUCGAUGUCGGCUCAUCGCAUCCUGGGGCUGUAGUCGGUCCCAAGGGUUGGGCUGUUCGCCCAUUAAAGCGGUACGCGAGCUGGGUUCAGAACGUCGUGAGACAGUUCGGUCCCUAUCCGUCGCGGGCGCAGGAAAUUUGAGAGGAGCUGUCCUUAGUACGAGAGGACCGGGAUGGACGCACCGCUGGUGUACCAGUUGUUCUGCCAAGGGCAUCGCUGGGUAGCUAUGUGCGGACGGGAUAAGUGCUGAAAGCAUCUAAGCAUGAAGCCCCCCUCAAGAUGAGAUUUCCCAUUCCGCAAGGAAGUAAGAUCCCUGAAAGAUGAUCAGGUUGAUAGGUCUGAGGUGGAAGUGUGGCGACACAUGGAGCUGACAGAUACUAAUCGAUCGAGGACUUAACCA